Molecule: RNA transcript, 6961 nt
Organism: Meriones unguiculatus (Mongolian gerbil)
Lineage: Eukaryota; Metazoa; Chordata; Mammalia; Rodentia; Muridae
Gene: Ido2
Gene name: indoleamine 2,3-dioxygenase 2
Exons: 11
Source: RefSeq, a predicted model, not a curated record
AUUCAACCUCUGGACAAGGUUCUCCCUGUGGCUGCAACCCUGUGCAACUGAAAUCACUCAGAGGACACAGUUGGGGAGCUCCUGAGCCUGGACAUUCCUUCCUCCUUAGACAUCUCUUCAGUGCAGAUAUCUCAAGCAAAACUAUGGAGCCUCAAAGACAGAGUUUGAAGCCAGCCCUGCUGUUGUCUUUGGAAACAUAUCACAUUUCUGAGGAGUAUGGCUUUCUCCUUCCACAUCCUCUGGCAGAACUUCCUGACCAUUACCAGCCCUGGAUGGAAAUUGCCAACGAACUUCCUCACUUAAUCGAGAGCCACCAGCUCCGGGCCCAUGUGUCCAAGAUGCCUCUCCUGGACUGCAGGUUCCUCAAGGGUUAUCGCCAGCAGCGCCUGGCACACCUGGUGCUGGCCGCCAUCACCAUGGGAUUCGUCUGGCAGGAAGGAGAGACCCAACCCCAAAAGGUGCUGCCAAGAACUCUUGCCAUUCCGUUUGUUGAGGUCUCCAGGAAUUUGGGGCUCCCUCCUAUCCUGGUCCACUCUGAUCUGGUACUGACAAACUGGACCAAGAGGAACCCUGAAGGACCAUUGGAGAUCAGUAACCUGGAGACCAUCAUCUCUUUCCCGGGGGGAGAGAGCCUGCAGGGCUUCGUCCUGGUGACAGUUCUGGUGGAGAAGGCAGCAGCGCCUGGCAUUAAGGCCCUGGUUCAGGGAGUGGAGGCCAUUCUGAGACACAGCCGGGAAACCCUGCUCCAGGCCCUGCAGCAGCUGAAGCUCUCCAUGCAGGAUAUCACCAGAACCUUGGCCCAAAUGCACGAUUGUGUAGACCCAGACAUAUUUUACUCGGUCAUCCGGAUCUUCCUCUCUGGGUGGAAGGACAACCCGGCCAUGCCUGAGGGGCUGGUCUAUGAGGGCGUUGCCACAGAGCCUCUGAGGUACUCCGGAGGAAGCGCAGCCCAGAGUUCUGCCCUUCAGGCUUUCGAUGAGUUCCUGGGCAUUCGGCAUUGUGAGAAAAAUGUAGGUUUUCUGCACAGAAUGAGAGACUACAUGCCUCCUUCCCAUAAGGCCUUCCUGGAGGACCUCCACUCGGCUCCUUCACUGAGGGACUACGUUCUGGCCUCUGGUGACGGGUGCUGCCUGAUAGCCUAUAACCAGUGUGUGGAUGCUCUGGCAGAGCUUCGUAGUUACCAUAUCAACGUGGUGGCCAGAUACGUCAUCUCCGCUGCUGCCAAGGCCAGGAGUAGGAUGCCGAGCCAUUUCUCACCCCAUGCCUUGGAGGACAGGGGCACUGGGGGCACCGCGGUGCUGAGCUUCCUGAAGAGUGUCAGGGAGAAGACCGUGGAGGCCAUCCUCCAUCCUAGGGCUUAGCAACUCACAUCCUGUGUCCUUGUGCUUAGCAUCAUGUCCUGUGUCCUUGUACUGAGGCCCUGUGGGAGCCAGAACCAGGCCAGAGCUCUGCCUGAACCCAAGAAUAGUUUUGCUCCAAAGAACAUCAUACCUUUUAUCCAUAAACUGUGGCUCCCACCCCCCACUCCCUCCCCCAGCCAGUUUGCUUGCUAGAAACCUUCCUGCCCUGCCCAGUUCCCCUGCCUCACAGCAGACAGCUACAACCAUCUCUUCAUUCAGUAUGCUGUGGGCAAGUCAGUGAUACCCAAGCUCAAUUUACAAAGAAUCAAGCUGCCUUUGGGCAUGUUGCUUUCUUUCCCUCAUUACCUUUUUUCCUCUACUUCCUUCUUCCCUUCUUCUCCCCCUCCACUUUCUUCUUCUAUUACCUCCUCUGUUUACUCCUCUUUUCCUCUUCUUCCCUCUCUGCUCAUCCCUUCUCUUUUUCCCUCCUUUUUGUCUUUGAAACAGGGUCUAACGGGCCUCAGACUGGCUUCCAACUUGAACCUGUGAUCCUCCUGCCUCAGCCUUCUAAGGUUAUGUGGAUGUCCACAUGUGUGCUGCCUGUUGUAAGGCUCUGCUCAUUUCCUUUGUUGAUUACACCAGGGCUUUUCAAUACCAGGCAGUUGUUCCACCAAUGAGCUACAGUGCCAACUCUCUGUGUUUCUCUGGGUUUGAAAGAAAAGCUUGAUGAGUUGAUUAGCCUGGCAGUGGGCUCUUUAGCCAGGCAGACCUUAGACUUUGAGUAGCUGGAAUGUAUAGGGAUGAGCCAAUGAGCCAAUGAGCCAAUGAGCCAAUGAGCCAAUGAGCCAUGCUGCUGCUGCUGAGGAUGAUGAUGAUGACAGCCAUGAUAAAGCAUCUUUAUCAUGGUGCCUCUUCCUCUUUGUUUCUUUUCGGUUUUUGUUUUGAGACAGGGUCUUACUACGUUUUAGCUCAGGUUGCCUUGAACUCAUGGCAAUCCUCCUACCUCAGCACCCUCAGGACCUGGAUUAUAAACAUGGGCCGCCACAGCUGGCUGUACAUCUGCUUAAUUCACUAAGUCCCUACUGUGCUCUUGUAUGGAGACUUGGGGGCGGGAUCAGCCUCUGUGACCUGGGACAGCCUUGCCCUCCCUGCUCACACUGAAUUCAGCAAUGGGUUUAGGUGCUUAGUGGAGAUUUGUGGGGUGAGGGUGCUGGCCAUACAAGCCUGGAAGUCACCCGCAUGAGAGCUAUCAGCUACCGAUUCGGAACCGAUGGGUCUUCCCCACAUGGUGUAGACAUAGCAAAUUCUAUUUUAAUUCUCUCUGCUCUAUUUUUAGGAGAAUGUUUUUCUUUCUCCUUAGUGACACUGGGAAUUUGUAUUUGAAAAAUGCUUUAAUUGACCCUCUGAAAGCAAGUGAACCAAAUCAGAAUAAAUACUUGCACCGCUUGUUCUGCUGGUGGACGUGUCAUUGAGCCUUUGGAGGCCACAAGUCCUUCGCUAUGGAAGAAGAAACGUCCUUAUUGAUGUAUGAAGCUGAGACAUGCUUUUGGCCUUCAUGCUUCUAAUCUGGACAUCGCAGCCAGUGGCUUGGUGCCCCGUGGAGAAUAAAUAUCUUCCUUUGAGGUUGUGGGGCUGCUGGGGACUUGCUGCCAGCCAUGUUGCCCAGCACGACGAGAGGAGACCCAACUGCCUGCUGCUAGGUAAGGGAAGACGAGCAUUCAGUAUGGUUUCUCCUGGCUGUGUGUUCUCACAUCACUGUGAAAACAGACAUCCCGGUGUCUUCAUGUGGAUGAAGGACCUAGGGGAGCUUACGACGAUGCUGUUCCCAAGAAUGCCCUCUUCACCCGGAAGACCGAGUCUGGGUUUUCUUGCCACUCAGAGACAAAAUGGAGCCACUGGCUGUAUCUCCACCUGUGGUGAAGAGGAGAGAUACGUGCUUGAACAAGCAGCACAGCGGACCAGACCUGGGGCUAUUCUCAAAAUCACAGAGACACCUGGCUAGUAACGAUAAAGACCUUUGACCCUGAGAAAAGAAUGUUAUCCAGGUGCCCUCUGGUAAUCCCAGCACUCAGGAGGCAGAAGCAGGAGGAUCAGGAGUUCAAGGCCGGCCUAGAAUACAUGCAACACUGUCUCAAGAAUUGGAACAGAGAGGAGAGUAGGAAAGGAGAAGAGGGAGGGGGAAGGAGAAAGAGAGAUGGGGGAAGGAAAGGGAGGGGAGAGAGGGUUUGCAGCCUAGGUUUGUUCUGAGCAGGAUUCUACUUUGUCCCUCAGUGUGGCAGGACUGAAAAAGUUUGUCCCGGUUUCUGGCUGCAGAGCAAGGUCCACUGAAAGAGACCACGGAGGUCUCUACAGAUUCUGUAAAUAUGGGUGCUGGGGAGGUCCGACGGGGCUGGACAAGGGGCGAGUGUCUUGCUCUGUAGGAGCCAGCCCAGUGUGCUUGUUUCUUGGAUCUGAUGGUCAAGGAGGACACUAAUGCAGAUGGGUGGAUGUUCCUUGUAAGGAACAGCAGGGAACCGUGAAGAGGUGAGUUCUUGGGGCAGUCAGGGUUACUUUCAGGCCCCCUGCAGUAGGGUGUGCAUUUGCAAAAGACAGAUUUACGACUGAGGACAGAAAGAUUGCCGAGUCAGCCCAGGGUUGGCUCCAGGACAGACACACUGAUCCAGGCUUGAGCUGUUGCCACGAGAAGAGUGAGGAGGCCGCUUCUGCAACCACAGCUGACUGUAGACUCUUGUACGCCUUGCCUUUUCACGCACUGCAGACUCCAUCCCCAUCCAGAUGGAACAGUACAUAUGAAGGACUUCUACAAGUGCCUCCCCCGGGAAAAUGCUUUCCAGACAAUACAUCGUCUUAUUGUCAGGGGCUCAGUGGAUGUGAAGCUGUGUGUUUCCUUCCUGUCUGAAGGAGCUUGAAUUGUUGAUUUUCAUAGAAAGCCUGCAGCCAGUUGGUCAUCAAAUUCAUUUUUUACGUACAGAUCCCUCCUUCAGUGGCUUUAUGAAUAGACACUAUAUGUUUUCUAGGUCUUGUGUUUGUCAAUCAGGAUUUUACAUAAAACUGAAACAAUACAAGAGUUAUUUGUAUAUGGAGAGAGAGAUGGGAGGGAGGGAUGGAGAGAUGGAGCAGAAAAGGAAGAGGGAGGGAGACGGAGACGGAGAGACAGGCAAGCCUGUGAGUCCAAAGCCUGCAGGAGUGCCCUGCAUCUGGAAGCCAGGGGAGGAUCUGAUGUUGCGUCUCCAGUUCAAAGGCCUUCCGGCGGACGAACUCCUGAGCCCUUUCUACUUCAGCGGUCACUCUCUGCUCUCUAAGACCGUCCCUGAUUGAAAGAGGCCACCCACACUAGGGAAGGUAAUUUGCUUUCCUCAGCGCCCAUCACUUUCAACACUAAUCUCAUCCCAACAGAACCCAGAAGCACAGACACAGGAGAAUGCUAAGCCAGAUACUUACCCAGCGAAUCUGCCCUGAGGAGGGCGGAAGAGGGCAACUUAAGGCAUCAGGUAUGUGAGUUUCAAACUAAUGGCGAGGGGUUAAGGCCAGGCCUGAGUGUGUGCGUGCGUGUGUGUGUGUCUGUUCACUGAGCUCUCUCAGGAAGGUCUGUGCGUGGGCUGAGUGGAAGCCCUUGACGGAAAGCUACGGAACAUUACUAAGGCAAACACGGUGCUGCUGACUCACGUGGAAUUGGAAAACUUACUGAUGUAAAUUUUUGGUGUUUGUUUGCAUCUAUGCCUGUGUGCCUGGCUGUCUGUGUGUGAGUCAUGUGAUGGCAGGUGACCACAGAGGCCUGGGAGAGAACAUCAGAUCCCCUGGAGGCAGCGUUGGUCGUGGACCACCCGAUGAGGGGGCUGGGGACCACACUUGGGGCUUCUGCAAGAGCAGCAAGUGCUCUUAAUUGCUGAGCCAUCUCUCCAACCCUUCCCCCAUGACCUUUUUGACUUUUCUUUUUUUAAACAUCAAGACACGCUAGCUAGGCACAUGCUGAGCUGCAUCCCAGCCCUGAGCAUGCCGUCUCCUAACAAAUGUAUAAACGUUGUGUUCUGAGAAUGCCGGCGAAGGGUGAACCCUCCCUUCCCUGUGGAGACAGGACUAGGCCUCGAAGGUCAAACUGCGUGCACAAGACCCUGUAAGCCCAAGUUGCUCCUGUCAUUAAUACAGGAGGCAGGAAGACACUGGUUCCUUAAAAGGUUGUGUCCAUGUACAGCUAGAGUUAGUUUGGGCUAUUUUUUAAGAAACGUAGUAAAGACUCGAUAUGAUUUUAAUAGCCGAACAGCAGAACCAUUAAAGCAAUAAAGCCAGGUCGCAAUGGUGGUGCUCAGCAGCUCUGGACUGCCUUGACUCCCUCGCUAGCUCUGGGCCGCAGUGCAAGAGGGACACAGCUCUCUCAGCUUUCAAAGCGCACAGCCAGGGCAUCGGGUAUGAAUUCCGUGGAAGGAGUCUUCUCUGGUUCCUUUGAAAAUUGUCAUUCGUUGUUUCCAAGUAAGUGCUGAAGUAAAGCCACGCCAAAAGAAAAAGGGGAGAGAGAAGAGAAGAAAGAAAGGAUAAGGUAGGAUGGGAGGAAGGAAGGAAGGAGCAAGGAAAAAAGAAGAAAAAGGGAGAGGGCAUUUCAGAUUAUAUUCCAGAUCGGAUUCAGUUUUCAGAUCUGAGAUAAACCCCUUCAGUACCUGCUAGUCAGUUAUUGCUCACGCACAGAUGUGGUGUUUGCCCAGCUAAUGGGGGAGGUGCUUGUCGCUCCCCGAGCUCACUUAACAGUAAACUUAAUAAAGAAGUCGGAUUUUAACUGCUUUCUGAGACUCACUUGCCGGUUCGUGCCUGCAGUUCAGCAUCUGCUUCCUGGGAACGUUAAAACCGAUUUCUUGAGUGUAAGCAUCAUCAAAAAAAUAAAUGAUUUUUUUUUUUUUUGCCAAGUCAUUUGCUUUAUAAACUCACAGAUCGUUUGGGGCCCCGUGCUUCUGUGGCAGCCGCAGGGCGAGCACGCCAACCCUAUGGCACCUUUAAUCACCCAAAUGGCUUCGUUUUCUCUUAGGGAUUGGUACCUGUGGGCCACCUUCCUGUGCGCUGUAGGAAAGCAUUUUCGGAGCCCGAACCACCUCUCUGCUUCCUGAGUUGCUCUCCUCUCACUGGGCCACACUGUUCCUUAACUGUGACGUGUGUGUUGAAUUUACAUGCUGGCAGCAGGGCACUGUGGCACUCGCCUUUAAUCCCAGCACUCAAGGAGGCAGAGGCAGGUGGAUUUCUGUGAGUUCGAGGCCAGCCUGGUCUACAAAGUGAGUCCAGGACAGCCAAGGCUACAUAGAGAGAAACUCUGUUUGGGGGGAAGAAUUUAUAUGCCACUCUGACCCCAAGCUAAUCCAACAUUAGAACUGGGGAUGGCUAUUGAUUGUGCCCGGAGUCUUGGGUCAAAGUCUUUCCCUAAGAACACUCCAACAUUUUAGAGCCAUUCAUGUACUCAAGCCUUUCUAGCCCAAAGAUUCCAAAAUUAGUUACUAAUUAUGCACAUACGUGUUAUCUUAUCAUCUUAUAUUAUUUCUAACACACAAACACUUUAAUUCAAAUCUCAUCUGUCAAUUAAUGCCAAGAGUAGUGAUUAAUAGCGUGACUAAUCAAACAUGCAAAUAAAAUACGUACACACA